RNAcentral lists this ribosomal RNA (332 nucleotides) under uncultured bacterium. RNAcentral's name for it is "bacterial SSU rRNA". It matches the Rfam family "Bacterial small subunit ribosomal RNA", at positions 568 to 898 of the family's 1533-position model. The record is from RNAcentral.
CGUGUAGGCGGCCUCUUAAGUCUGAUGUGAAAGCCCGGGGCUUACCCCCGGAAGGGCAUUGGAAACUGGGAGGCUCGAGUACCGGAGAGGAAGGUGGAAUUCCUGGUGUAGCGGUGAAAUGCGUAGAUAUCAGGAGGAACACCGGUGGCGAAGGCGGCCUUCUGGACGGAUACUGACGCUGAGACGCGAAAGCGUGGGGAGCAAACAGGAUUAGAUACCCUGGUAGUCCACGCCGUAAACGAUGGGCACUAGGUGUUCGGGGUAUUGACCCCCUGAGUGCCGCAGCUAACGCAUUAAGUGCCCCGCCUGGGGACUACGGCCGCAAGGUUAAA